CCCCACCAUUUCUCUCACAUUUAACAGCCAAUCUCUUUCUCACUUCUCAAAGUCAAACGUACCCCCAAUCCGAUGGAGCUCCGACCCUUGGGAAACACAGGGCUCAAGAUCAGCUCUGUGGGUUUUGGGGCAUCCCCUCUUGGCAGUGUCUUCGGCCCUGUAUCCGAGGACGACGCCGUCGCCUCCGUUCGUGAAGCCUUCCGCCGGGGCAUCAAUUUCUUCGAUACCUCUCCGUAUUAUGGAGGAACAUUGUCAGAGAAGAUGCUUGGUAAGGGACUUAAAGCCCUAGGAGUUCCUAGAAAUGAAUAUGUCGUGUCAACAAAGUGUGGGCGGUAUAAAGAGGGCUUUGAUUUUAGUGCUGAAAGAGUAACUAGGAGCAUUGAUGAGAGUUUGGAGAGGUUGCAAUUGGACUACGUUGAUAUAUUGCAAUGCCAUGACAUUGAGUUUGGGUCUCUUGACCAGAUUGUGAAUGAAACAAUUCCUGCCCUUCAGAAACUAAAGGAGGCGGGGAAGAUCCGUUUUAUUGGGAUAACUGGACUCCCUCUAGGAAUCUUUACUUAUGUGCUCGAUCGAGUACCAUCUGGUACAGUUGAUGUGAUUCUCUCUUAUUGCCACUACAGUAUUAAUGAUUCAACACUGGUGGAUUUACUUCCAUACUUGAAGAGCAAAAGUGUAGGUAUAAUUAGUGCUUCUCCACUUGCAAUGGGACUCCUUACAGAGAAUGGUCCUCCAGAGUGGCACCCUGCUUCUCCUGAGCUAAAGUCUAAAUGCCAAGCUGCUGCUGCCUAUUGUAAAGAGAAUGGAAAGAGUAUUACCAAGUUAGCACUGCAAUACAGUUUAUCGAACAAGGAUAUCUCUACAGUGCUGGUUGGCAUGAACUCUGUUGGACAGGUUGAGGAAAAUGUUACUGCUGCCCUAGAACUUGCUACAUUUGGGAAGGAUCAAGAAACACUAGCCGAAGUUGAGGCGAUUCUUAGCCCUGUCAAGAACCAGACAUGGCCGAGUGGAAUCCAACAGGGCUGAUGGUUUUGCCAACUCUGAAUCCGUUUUCCUCAUGUACUGUUCAUAAUUUCAAUUGCCAACAGUGCCCUACUUAAUCCAUAUGGUUCAGUGGGAGGGCCUCCUCCAUUACAGUUCUCCCCUCUAGAAAAAAUGAGUUAUGAAUGGAAAGAGAGGGUCAUUACUCAUUGUUAUGCAGAUGGAUCUUUGCUUAAUAAAUUGUAUGAUUUAUUCAUUCUGGUCAUGAGACAUUCAAGGGGUGAAUAUUGUAAACUUGGAUUUGGUUUGUAUUUCAAGUCGUCGUAAAAUUGUAUUGUAAUAUUCUAUUGUAAGCUUCCCUCAGCUAAUAUUUCCAUUUUUUUUUUUAUACCAAAAUAAAAAU
Molecule: unclassified non-coding RNA, 1381 nt
Filed under: Hevea brasiliensis (rubber tree)
Lineage: Eukaryota; Viridiplantae; Streptophyta; Magnoliopsida; Malpighiales; Euphorbiaceae
Source: RNAcentral